RNAcentral lists this ribosomal RNA (483 nucleotides) under uncultured bacterium. RNAcentral's name for it is "partial 16S ribosomal RNA". It matches the Rfam family "Bacterial small subunit ribosomal RNA", at positions 30 to 507 of the family's 1533-position model. The record is from RNAcentral.
UUGAACGCUGGCGGCAGGCCUAACACAUGCAAGUCGAGCGGAUGAAGGGAGCUUGCUCCUGGAUUCAGCGGCGGACGGGUGAGUAAUGCCUAGGAAUCUGCCUGGUAGUGGGGGAUAACGUCCGGAAACGGGCGCUAAUACCGCAUACGUCCUGAGGGAGAAAGUGGGGGAUCUUCGGACCUCACGCUAUCAGAUGAGCCUAGGUCGGAUUAGCUAGUUGGUGGGGUAAAGGCCUACCAAGGCGACGAUCCGUAACUGGUCUGAGAGGAUGAUCAGUCACACUGGAACUGAGACACGGUCCAGACUCCUACGGGAGGCAGCAGUGGGGAAUAUUGGACAUUGGGCGAAAGCCUGAUCCAGCCAUGCCGCGUGUGUGAAGAAGGUCUUCGGAUUGUAAAGCACUUUAAGUUGGGAGGAAGGGCAGUAAGUUAAUACCUUGCUGUUUUGACGUUACCAACAGAAUAAGCACCGGCUAACUUCGUG